RNAcentral lists this unclassified non-coding RNA (159 nucleotides) under uncultured Venturiales. RNAcentral describes it as "sequence contains ITS1". The record is from RNAcentral. Lineage: Eukaryota; Fungi; Ascomycota; Dothideomycetes.
CCGAGCGUGACCCCCCGAAAAUUUGAAGGGGGGUGCCUCCCGUCCUUUGCAGAGCCCUUUGGGGGCUUUCACACUUUGCUUCGGCGGGAUUGCCCCGCCGGAACACCCUCAAGAAAAUCUCGAAUAAACCGUUCCGUCCGAGGGUUGCGAUAAUGAACA